CAGCAGCCGCGGUAAUACGUAGGGUGCAAGCGUUAAUCGGAAUUACUGGGCGUAAAGCGUGCGCAGGCGGUUAUGUAAGACAGAGGUGAAAUCCCCGGGCUCAACCUGGGAACUGCCUUUGUGACUGCAUAGCUAGAGUACGGUAGAGGGGGAUGGAAUUCCGCGUGUAGCAGUGAAAUGCGUAGAUAUGCGGAGGAACACCGAUGGCGAAGGCAAUCCCCUGGACCUGUACUGACGCUCAUGCACGAAAGCGUGGGGAGCAAACAGGAUUAGAUACCCUGGUAGUCCACGCCCUAAACGAUGUCAACUGGUUGUUGGGUCUUCACUGACUCAGUAACGAAGCUAACGCGUGAAGUUGACCGCCUGGGGAGUACGGCCGCAAGGUUGAAACUUAAAGGAAUUGGCGGG
Molecule: ribosomal RNA, 408 nt
Filed under: uncultured microorganism
Description: bacterial SSU rRNA
Rfam family: Bacterial small subunit ribosomal RNA
Source: RNAcentral